CGGCUGCUGCGGGAGUGCGUCUACCUCCUUCUCUGCAGCUGGUGCAUCCGUGAGCUGCUGGACUAGGGAAUGCCCCCUCCCCCCUACUUCAGUACUGCAGGACCUCCAGCACUCCCUGCCUGCCCUGCCUCUGUGGGACUGUGCUUGUCGCCACGUGUUGAUGGAGCUGACGGACCCCCGGCGCUGGGACGCUGCACUCCCCACAGUCGUAGACCCCCAGUAAACCUGAACAGCGCCUGACUGGCUGCAUCUGUUUGGAGA
Molecule: long non-coding RNA, 261 nt
Organism: Manacus vitellinus (golden-collared manakin)
Lineage: Eukaryota; Metazoa; Chordata; Aves; Passeriformes; Pipridae
Exons: 2
Source: RefSeq, a predicted model, not a curated record